Molecule: long non-coding RNA, 3105 nt
Organism: Peromyscus californicus insignis
Lineage: Eukaryota; Metazoa; Chordata; Mammalia; Rodentia; Cricetidae
Exons: 2
Source: RefSeq, a predicted model, not a curated record
UGAGUAUUUUGCUGGCACGUAAUCUGUGCAUCGUGUGUGUGCUUGGUCAGAAGAAAGCACCAGAUCCCUUGGCCCUGGAGUUGUCAGAUGCUAUGUAUUUGCUAGGAAUUGAACCUGAGUCAAUUACUUGACAGCAACAGGACACUCACAGGAUAAACAGGUACGUGCGAUGUGCCUGUAUGCACAUUUUUUGGGGGCAGUUGGUAUCCAUCGGGAAUGAUCACAAAUGACUUAAGCUUUAAUUGUUACAGCUUUGCUCUUUCUUCGUCUUUUCUCUUUUAAUUUUAAUUUUUGUGGUGCUAGGGAUCAAACCCAGGGCUUCCUGCAUUUGAGGCAAUGUUCUACCACUGAGUUAUCCCUCCAAGUCCAUGAUGGAACUCUUGAUUGACAAGGUUACCAUACCUUUACGACAAAUGUUGGGUUCUCAUUUCCCAUCCAGUGGAUUUUCACAGUUUUGUUGACUUCCAUUCUCUUUUUUAGAUUUAUUUAUUUUAUUGUCCAUGUAUGAGUGUUUUGCCUGCAUGUAUCACAUGCAUGGCUGGUGCCCCCACCGUUCAGAAGAUGGUAUCAGAUACCCUGGAACUGGAGUUAUAGGUGGUUAUGAGCCACCAUGUGGGUUCUGGGAACCAAACCCAGGUCCUCCACAAGAACAAAAAGUACUCCCAACCACUGACCCAUAACUCCAGCUGUCUCUUCCAUUUUUCCUUGAUUCUGUACUUGUUGGCUUUCCCAGCAGGAACCAACAGUGAGGUCUCUGAAGGUAUAAAACAGCCUGUGUGACAAUAUUAUCAUUCUUUCUCUUGAGGGGAUUGGUAUCAGCCUUUACUUUUGGAGGAGCACAGCUCUGGCUAGUGUGCAUCCAGCAUGUGGAGCCUCCCCAGCAAUGACCGAGGACGGACUAUCAGGGCAGAGUACUGUUCGAGCAUUACAGCACACACAGCCUAUGAGAAAGGCCUGUGAAUUCAGUGGUGUCCCGGGCUCUUUAUAAUGGCCUUCACCAAGGAACCAGAGAAUAAUUAUCUCAGAAGGAACAGACAGCAGGCCAAGAUCAAAGAAAAUCGUCUGUCAGGUUCUAAUUUGGUUUACCUCCUACCCGGUGCUCAGGGGCUCGGAUCCUCAUAGAGUACAUGUGCCAGACAUUCUAUGGAAAUCAGAGUAAAGACUCCAAAGAUGUUCAAGGCUUAUCCCAGGAACUGUAAAUGUCAUCUUAUCUAGCAGAAGGGAUAUUGCAGAAGCAAUUAAGGAUCUUGAGAUGGGAAGAAGAUCCUGGAUUGUAGGGGUGGACCUAAUCUCAACUCAGGGAGCCUCAGCUAUGAAAGGAGUGAGGCCAGAGAGCUGCCAUCAAAGUAAUGCAUCAAGACUCAUCUGGCUGUGGCAGGCUUUGAAAAUGGAAAGAGGCCAAUGAGUCUAGGAAUUCAACAGCCUUUAGAAGGUGGGAAGAGCCACGAAAGGGAUUCUUCUGAGAGCCUCCAGAAGGAAUGUAGCCCCAUUGCCAUGAUGCUUUCUGUCUCCUGGGACUACAUCAGACAUCUGACCACUGAAUAUGCUACAACGACACCUCUAUGUUGUUUCAGCUACCAUUUCCACGAAACUAUAUUACAGUCCCAGUGGAAAAGCACCAUGGGUCCCACUCUCAAACUCAUGUUCAUUCACUUUGGUGUGCUUCAGAUUGUGGAAGUCAGCAAAAAUUGUUUCUCUUGAUGAUUUAAGAGUUUUCUCUAAAUUAAUUAAGGGGCUAGGUGGUUUAAGAAGAUAAAUGAUAGGACCAGGGAUCUAGUUCAGUUGCUAGAAUGUCUUGCCUUGGAAGCGUAAGUGUGUGGGUUUGAUACAAGCACCAUAAAACUCUUUUCUGACACACACACACACACACACACACCCCAGAAAGAAGGAAAAGGAAUGUUAAUACCAAUAACGUCAGCACACACAGGGACACAGCAGCAAAACUAACUUGCUUUGGUGCGAUUCUUCAUUAAACACUUCAGAUGCAACAUGAUGCUGAUAGUAUCAGAGCUGACAAGAGAUUAAAACGAUCAGGAACAAAGAAGAAGAUUUACUUUUUGAAAUGAGGAAUUGUUUUUUAUAUUAUAUCAGAACAAUUAUUACUGAUUCAUUCUUUUUUCAGAUAGGGUCUCACUAUGUAGCCUUAGCUGGCCAGGAUCAGGCUGGCCUCAAACUUACAGAGAUCUGCCUCAGCCUCCUUAGUGUUGGGAUUAAAGAUGUAUGCCACCAUUCCAGGCUUUUAUCUUAUUUUUAUCUAGUUUAUUUUAUUUUUUUUGCAACAGGGUCUCAUAUAGUCCAGGCUGGCCUUGAAGUUGCGAUGUUGCUGCAAGGACUUUGAAUUUCUCAUCUUCCACCCCCGGAAUGCUGAGGUUACAGGCCUGUGCCAUCCCACCUGUAUGGAUGGAACCCGGGGAUUUGCGCAGCCUAGGCACAUGCUCUACCAACUGAGCUACAUGUGUGGUCCCUAGAAUAGUUCCUAGGCUUUGGACACGUCAGCCCUUGUUAGAAAAUGACAUAAAAUUAUCACAAUGAAAAAGCACUUUUAAAAACACUAAGUAUUUACACUGUAGCUAGGAAUUAACAAUGGGUGAUGAAACUAACAAAGGAAAAAAAACCUGAGAAGUCAAUGCCAAAAAUAUAAGCAAAAUGUGUCAUUUUAGAAAGUGAAGUAUAUCUGUAUAAGACUAACGAAAACCAAGGGCCAACAGAAUAUUCGAAGAAAUUUGGACUAAAUAGCAGUUGUGUGACAAUAACUGUGAUGAUCACACGCCUACGAGGCCUUUAAAAUGUAGUCGAAUGGCUAGACAGAAUUAUUUCCUUUCUAAAAAGACUGGUUAGUAGUUUACAAACUAUCAAUCCCUUGGUUCAUGCAGAAGCUCCAAGACCUAAAAUCAGACAUAGAUUUGAGAUGCAAGGUAGAAAUCCAACAUCAUGAAGGGAAGCAGAGAGAGGGUGGCCUGAGAACGCAUGGACCUCAACCAUCUCAAGAAAAGAAAAGCAUGAAUCUAACUGCUGAAAAGCUGUAAAAAGAGAACAGAAGACCAUUUCAGAGUUUGUGGAAAGCUGUGGACAGUGUCUCAGAGUAAAGUUUUGGAUGUUAUUGUG